This 253-nucleotide ribosomal RNA is filed under the name uncultured bacterium. Its description in RNAcentral is "partial 16S ribosomal RNA". It matches the Rfam family "Bacterial small subunit ribosomal RNA", at positions 524 to 776 of the family's 1533-position model. The record is from RNAcentral.
UACGUAGGGUGCAAGCGUUAAUCGGAAUUACUGGGCGUAAAGCGUGCGCAGGCGGUUAUAUAAAACAGUUGUGAAAUCCCCGGGCUCAACCUGGGAACUGCAUCUGUGACUGUAUAGCUAGAGUACGGUAGAGGGGGAUGGAAUUCCGCGUGUAGCAGUGAAAUGCGUAGAUAUGCGGAGGAACACCGAUGGCGAAGGCAAUCCCCUGGACCUGUACUGACGCUCAUGCACGAAAGCGUGGGGAGCAAACAGG